CUGUGAAACAAGAUACAGGCUAGCGGCGGACGGGUGAGUAACACGUGGGUAACCUGCCCAAGAGAUCGGGAUAACACCUGGAAACAGAUGCUAAUACCGGAUAACAACAGAUGAUGCCUAUCAACUGUUUAAAAGAUGGUUCUGCUAUCACUCUUGGAUGGACCUGCGGUGCAUUAGCUAGUUGGUAGGGUAACGGCCUACCAAGGCGAUGAUGCAUAGCCGAGUUGAGAGACUGAUCGGCCACAUUGGGGCUGAGACACGGCCCAAACUCCUACGGGAGGCAGCAGUAGGGAAUCCUCCACAAUGGACGCAAGUCUGAUGGAGCAACGCCGCGUGAGUGAAGAAGGGUUUCGGCUCGUAAAGCUCUGUUGUUGGUGAAGAAGGACAGGGGUAGUAACUGACCUUUGUUUGACGGU
This 416-nucleotide ribosomal RNA is filed under the name uncultured Lactobacillus sp. RNAcentral describes it as "bacterial SSU rRNA". It matches the Rfam family "Bacterial small subunit ribosomal RNA", at positions 72 to 476 of the family's 1533-position model. The record is from RNAcentral. Lineage: Bacteria; Bacillati; Bacillota; Bacilli; Lactobacillales; Lactobacillaceae.